AAUAAAUAUAUGUUCAUGUACACACUGGUCAUGCACAUGUAUAUCAGAGGCAGUGUGUGGUACAUUGGGUCUGAAAACAGGAAGACCUGAAUUCAAAUAUCAGAUAUUUAGUAGCUGUGUGACCCUGAACAAGUUACCUGUCCUCUGGUUUCCUCAACUGUAAAAUGGGGGUAAUAAAAGCACUUUCCAGAUAGAGUUGUGAGUAUCAAAUGAAAGAAUAUUUUUCACAGUUCUUAGUACAGUUCUUGGCACCUAAUAGCCACUGUAUUAUACUUAUCCCCUUCUCUGCUGUGGGGAAAUAUGAACCACAGAUAAGUAAAUUCAAAUUAAUUUAAAUUAAUGUUGGUGAGAGCCUACAUCUGAGGAAAUUAGGUAAGGCCCAGGCAGGGGUAAGAGGUAACAGACAGGAGAUGAUCCUUGAAUGGAGGCAGGGAUGCUAAGAGACAGAAAUGAGGGAAAACACUGCAGGGAAGAAGGGAGGGGCUGGACACAGACAAGAGUUAGUUGGAAUGGGUGUGUAUGGGGAACAACAAAUAGGACAGUUUAGCUUAGUAGUAAAGAACCUAAGAGGGAGCAAUGUGAAGUCAGCCUAGAAAGAUAGGCAGGAGCCAGACUGUGAAGGGUUUUAAAUAGCAAAUAGCAAAUAAGCUAAUGACCAUGUGAAGGGCAUUGAAAGUUUUUAAGCUGGAGACCAUGAAGUUUGGGUCUUUUAAUUCACAUAAUCAAAAAUACUAGAAAACAAAAAAGCAAGCUGUCCAUCAAUGAUUAAAAAACAAAACAAAACAAAACAAUUUUCACAAGACAGAAAAGAAAAAGUUGACAUCCAGAUUUCUGCUGAAGUCUUGAUUAUUGAUUUUCCUUGAGUAGAUAGAGCUUUGAACCAGGAGACUAGAAAACCUAAAGUUCAAAUCCUUCCUCAGUCACUUACUAGCUCUUUGAUCCUGCACAGGUCACUUAAUCUGCUUGCUUCCAUUUCCUCAUCUUAUAAAAAGGGGACAAUAAUAGCACUUACCUGCCAGUGUUAUUGCGAGGUUUAAAUACGAUAAUAUUUGUAAAAUAUUUUACAAAAUUUGAGCACUAUAUAAAAUGCUAGUAUUUGGCAAUUAGAACAAAAUAGUUGAGAGAGGAAGGAAGGAAGGAAGGAAGGAAGGAAGGAAGGAAGGAAGGAAGGAAGGAAGGAAGGAAGGAAGGAAGGAAGGAAGGAAGGAAGGAAGGAAGGAAGGAAGGAAGGAAGGAAGGAAAAGAAAAGAUAAAAGAAAGAAAAAACAGUUGAAACAUUUUAAAUCUUUUCUAAUAAAACUGAAAAUGUUACAAAAAUAUUUUUCUCAUCUAAAAUACUUUCUAGACUUUUCCCUUUAGGAAAGUGGUGAGAAUAAAAGUUAAGGCCUUUCUUAGGGAAAGGGAUGAGCUGGUAAUGAAAUUCAAGUCAUCUAGAUAUUAAUAGCAUUUGCCUCCCUACUCCCCCUCCCAUCCCUUGAAAAUGACUGAGGCUAUAACCUGCCUAAGGGCAGGAUUUUCUUGCAUUCAAGGUUAAAAUAUUAAUCUGCAGGAAGAAAAUCUUUCUGAAUCUCUUCAGAAGUGCCAGGAAGGAACUGAGUUAUGACUGUUUUGGAAUGUUUACUCCAAACUGUAUUUUAAGAUAUCAUGAUCUUUUUCUUCUUCAAGAUUCAUAUUACCUCAAAUCAUCUUAGUGUAGAGCUAUAUCCAAUGGCAUGGGAAAACUCUGCCCUUUUGGAGAUCUUUUCUGGAAGCUAGAAAUGCUUUUCAUAUAGUAAUGAUAAUAGUAAUAGCUAGCAUUUAGAUAUCACUUUAAGGGUUGCAAAGCACUUGACACAGAAUAAUGCUUAAAUAAAACUAUUUCUGUCAAAUGUGACAAUGCAGAAUAUACUAUAAAUAUUUUUUCUUUAAUCAGAAUAAAGAAAAAAGAACUGAAGUAAAAGUUUUGAGAUACCUAAAAUAACAAAAAUUAUUAUCAGAAAGUCUCUAUAAAGAAUAUUGAAGGUAUGUUGGUUCUAAAGGAAUUAUAAAGUAAUAAAUAACCAUUUUAUAUUAAUUAAAAUACUACUAGAUGGCACAGUGGAUAGUGUAAUGAGCCUGGAGUCUGGCAGGCCUGAGUUCAAAGGUAGUUUGAAAUACUUCCUAGCUUUGGGAUCCUGGGCAAAUCACUUAACUCUGUUUGCCUCAGUUUCCUUAUGUGUAAAAUGAGCUGGAGAAAGAAAUGGCAAACUAGUGCAGUAUCUUUGCCAAGAAAAUUCCAAAUGGGAUUAUGAAAAGUCAGACACAAAUGAAAUGAUGGAACAACAACAACAAAUUAUUACUAAAUCAGGCAGGUUGGGAAUAAUCCCUAAGUAAAAUAGAAAAACAAUAAUGAGUAAUCAAUCAUAUAAGAAUGAAGAACAUUUAAGGGGGCAGCUGGGUAGCUCAGUGGAUUAAGUCAGCCCUAGAGACGGGAGGUCCUAGGUUCAAAUUUGACCUCAGCCACUUCCUAGCUGUGUGACCCUGGGCAAGUCACUUGACCCCCAUUACCUAGCCCUUACCACUCUUCUGCCUUGGAGCCAAUACACAGUAUUGACUCCAAGACGGAAGGUAAGGGUUUAAAAAAAAAAAGAAUGAAGAACAUUUAAAUAAUGAAGUUUACCUUUUGAAGAAUAAUAUUUAAUUGCUUCUCAGCUGCUAAAAUCUCCCUUAAUUUUAGUGUCUUCCAUGUGUUGAUUUUCUCCAAUUUUUCCUACAUUAUAUAUUUGUUUGUUUGUUUUGUUUUGUUUUUAGUUGUUUGGAGACUGUCUCCCCAUUAGAAUAUGAGCUUCUUGAAAGCAGAGAUUUUAUUUUUCCUUUUUUUUUUUAAUAUCCUCAUAGGUUUGCACAGUACCUAGCACAUGAUAAAGGUAAAUUAAAUGCUUGUUGACUGAUUAACUGAUUCAUAAUGCCACAGUGUUUGGUGGAUUCAGAACUGGUUGACUGCUUGGCUUCAAAGAAUAGUUACUGAUGGCAAGUGGCCUCUAGUGAGAUGUCCAAAGAUACGUGCCUGGCUAUGUUUUAUUUGACAUUUUUAUCAGCGGUUUGGCUUAAAGCAUAAAUGGAGUGCUUAUCAAAUUUGUAGAUUACACAAAACUGUGAAGGAUUGAUAACUUUGGGGGACAAAAAGCUUUUAAAAGGCUAUAUAAUGUUAUGCUAUAUCUAAUAAGAUAAAAUUAAGUAAGGAUAAAUAAUUCUCACCCGUGGUUCAAAAAAAAACUUCACAGGUCUAUGUUUGAAGUCUGUGUUUAAAAAAGACCUGGGAGUUUGGGCCAAGAAAAAAAAAAACGAAUACAUUCUUAGACUGGAUACAAAAGGAAAAACCGAGGUCCUUCAGGUAUAACUAAUAACUGUAGAAAUCUGUUUUUCUUAAUUCUGAAACCAUUAUGUCUGUUUUCCACAAGCUACCUUACUAUAUAAAUGCACCAGACACAGAAUAAAUGGAGUCACAAAGAGCCAGACAUGAAUGAACAAUAACAACAGAGUGGAAUGGGAUGCUUUGGGAAAGAGUGACUUUCUCAUCUUCAUAGUGGUCUCUAAGGAGAGACUGGAUGACUACUUGUCAGGCGCGUGAAACAGCAGGACAUGAAGGCAGAGUGGGAAGUGGACAAAAGCUCACUGGAAGGAGGCCAUCUCUUACACUUCGCAGACUGCCACAGUUGCAAAGGAACAUUCUCCAUGGAGCCUUCCUAUAUAAUUUAGGUGGUGACCUGAGAAGGAAAAUAGAGGCUAGAGGAAUACGGAUGUGAGAUAGAUAAGGCAGUCAGAGCAAGAAACGCAGGACUAAAGACUCAAAGACCACAAGUUAAAACACAUGGGGAGUUGUGAGCUCCUCUGUUGAUACCUCUCUGGAAGAAGAUAACGAGUGGAGAAAUUAGAAGUAUGAGAAACAAGAGAACCUGCAUGGAGCAGAAGACUCCAGGAUAUCCCCCAUAGACCAGGUGGUCAAGAGAUUAAUGGGAGAUGUGCGGGGCAGCUGUGCUGUGUAAGUCAGUCAAACAUGAGGCAAGACCAAGAUCAAGAUUGUAAGAUGCAAGGGAGAGAGUAAGGACUGUGAGAUCAAGAGGUGUGAGAGAGGAGAGGAGAAGAAGCUCACACAUGUUCCCUAGCUUUUACUGGGGUCCUUAGGAAUGUCAAGUUAGAGGUGAUUAAUGAAUAUAUGACAUGAUAUAGGUUUUGACAUUGGUUGAAUUGACAAUGAUGGAAUCAAAUAGGAGAUUAAUCCAACCCGGGCUUUGUAAGGGAAUGUAGUCCGAGCCAGGACACUGUGGCUGUCAAUGCCCAGCAGAGGAAUUUGCUUGUCCUUUGCACUAGUCCUUUGGAUUGUCCCUUUCCAUACAAUGAACAUUAAGUGAUCUGACCAUGUGUCUGGUAAAUGAAUAUACAGGAUACAAUAUCAAUGCAUCAAUCAUACUUCCAAGAUGCCAAGAUGCCUAGUAUGCUACACUUCCCCAUUUACUUUGGUCUCUAGUGAUUCUCCCCUUCCUCAUAAUCCAGAGUAUUUGUCACUGAUAAUCAUUAAGGGAUGUGAUCACUUUCUAUAUCUUGGUGCUCUCUAAUUAUUUCAUACAUGUAAGUCUUGCUUUCACUGUUAGUUUGUCCCUUAGGGUCAUAGACCUCAUCUUACAUUUCUUUGUUUCCCUCCACUCCAUAAUAAUUGCUCAGUUGUUUCAAUAAAUUUAUUCAUCUAAUAGGGACAACAGAUGAUGUUAACUUAAAUGUAGCAUUAAAAUGUUUAUUCCAUAAUUACAAAUGGUCACUAUUUUUAAUAUUAAAUUAAAUAUCCCCCCAAUUACAUGUAAAGGUUUCCAACAUUUUAAAAAGAAUUUUGAGUCUUGAAUUUUUUCUUCCCUCCUCACCCUCCCUAGUGAUAUGGUAAGUAAUACCAUAGAGACUGUACAUGUGCAAUCAUGCAAAACAUUUUCCCACAUUAAACCCUUUUGUGUAAGGAAACUGAAACAACAAAAAAAAAUUAAUAAAGUGAAAAAUGUUUCCUUUGUUCUGGAUCCAGACUCCAUCAAUUCUUUCUCUGGAAGUAAAUGGUAUUUUUUUUUAAUCAUGAGUCCUUUGUGGUUGUUUUGAAUCAUUGUAUUUGCUUAGAACACCUAAGUUAUUUGCAGUUGAUCAUUGUACAGUAUUGCUGUCCUUGUGUAUGAUGUUCUGGUUCUGCUUACUUUACUCUGCUUCAGUUAUUGUAGAUCUUUCCAGGUUUUUCUGAGAUCCUCCUGAUCAUCAUUUCUUGUGGAACUAUAACAUUCCAUUAUAAUCAUAUACAAUAACUUAUUCAGUCAUUCCUCAAUUGAUGGGAUCCCCUCACUUUCCAAUUCUUUGUUUGCCCCAACAAAAAGAGCUGCUUGAAAUACUUUC
Monodelphis domestica (gray short-tailed opossum) is the source of this 5382-nucleotide long non-coding RNA. RefSeq lists it as uncharacterized. Lineage: Eukaryota; Metazoa; Chordata; Mammalia; Didelphimorphia; Didelphidae. The record is from RefSeq and is a predicted model, not a curated record.